UCUUCCCUCUGGCGGCGUGCCUAAUACAUGCAAGUCGAGCGAACAGACGAGGAGCUUGCUCCUCUGACGUUAGCGGCGGACGGGUGAGUAACACGUGGAUAACCUACCUAUAAGACUGGGAUAACUUCGGGAAACCGGAGCUAAUACCGGAUAAUAUAUUGAACCGCAUGGUUCAAUAGUGAAGGACGGUUUUGCUGUCACUUAUAGAUGGAUCCGCGCCGCAUUAGCUAGUUGGUAAGGUAACGGCUUACCAAGGCAACGAUGCGUAGCCGACCUGAGAGGGUGAUCGGCCACACUGGAACUGAGACACGGUCCAGACUCCUACGGGAGGCAGCAGUAGGGAAUCUUCCGCAAUGGGCGAAAGCCUGACGGAGCAACGCCGCGUGAGUGAUGAAGGUCUUCGGAUCGUAAAACUCUGUUAUUAGGGAAGAACAAAUGUGUAAGUAACUAUGCACGUCUUGACGGUACCUAAUCAGAAAGCCACGGCUAACUACGUG
RNAcentral lists this ribosomal RNA (497 nucleotides) under uncultured bacterium. RNAcentral describes it as "partial 16S ribosomal RNA". It matches the Rfam family "Bacterial small subunit ribosomal RNA", at positions 36 to 507 of the family's 1533-position model. The record is from RNAcentral.